GCUCAGGAUGAACGCUAGCGGCAGGCCUAAUACAUGCAAGUCGAGGGGUAGAAGNNNCUUGCUUCUUUGAGACCGGCGCACGGGUGCGUAACGCGUAUGCAACCUACCUUCAUCUGGGGGAUAGCCCGGAGAAAUCCGGAUUAAUACCGCAUAAAAUCACAGGAUGGCAUUAUCCAAUGAUCAAACAUUUAUGGGAUGGAGAUGGGCAUGCGUGUCAUUAGCUAGUUGGCGGGGUAACGGCCCACCAAGGCGACGAUGACUAGGGGAUCUGAGAGGAUGGCCCCCCACACUGGUACUGAGACACGGACCAGACUCCUACGGGAGGCAGCAGUAAGGAAUAUUGGUCAAUGGAGGCAACUCUGAACCAGCCAUGCCGCGUGCAGGAAGACUGCCCUAUGGGUUGUAAACUGCUUUUAUUCGGGAAUAAACCUAUAUACGUGUAUCUAGCUGAAUGUACCGAAGGAAUAAGGAUCGGCUAACUCCGUGC
Molecule: ribosomal RNA, 487 nt
Filed under: Pedobacter agri
Lineage: Bacteria; Pseudomonadati; Bacteroidota; Sphingobacteriia; Sphingobacteriales; Sphingobacteriaceae
Description: bacterial SSU rRNA
Rfam family: Bacterial small subunit ribosomal RNA
Source: RNAcentral